CCUACUGGCGGCAGCAGUGGGGGAUAUUGCACAAUGGGGGAAACCCUGAUGCAGCGACGCCGCGUGUGGGCAGACGGUCCUCUUGAUUGUAAACCACUGUCCCCCGGGACGAAGCUUACGGUACCUGGGGCGGAAACUCCGGCUAACUACGUACCAGCAGCCGCGGUAAUACGUAGGGAGAGAGCUGUGUCCGGAAUUACUGGGGGUAAAGGGAGGGUAGGCGGGGAUGCAAGUUGGGUGUCAAAACUACCGGGUCAACUGGUAGUCGCACUCAAAACUGCAGCUCUUGAGUGAAGUAGAGGCAGGCGGAAUUGCUAGUGUAGCGGUGAAAUGCGUAGAUAUUAGGAGGAAAACCAGUGGCGAAGGCGGCCUGCUGGGCUUUUACUGACGCUGAGGCUCGAAAGUGUGGGGAGCAAACAGGAUUAGAUACCCCAGUAGUC
RNAcentral lists this ribosomal RNA (440 nucleotides) under uncultured bacterium. RNAcentral describes it as "partial 16S ribosomal RNA". It matches the Rfam family "Bacterial small subunit ribosomal RNA", at positions 338 to 795 of the family's 1533-position model. The record is from RNAcentral.